UCAAAUUUUCUCUGAGUAAAGGAUACAUCGUCAAGGAUAUAUUCAAACGGUUGCUUUAUAGUUGCUGAACAUUAAACACGUGAACACAAAAAUCGCAAACAUAAAACAUUGACGUUAUAAAGUAUUUUGGUUGCUACUACAAAAGUGAAAUGUAAAGUUUGAAAGAACUUUAUCAUGCAUUGUAAAAUCUCCUCUUUUUUGGUGAUUACCAUAUGGUUAAUUAUAUAAUUCAUGGUGUUAUACGGUAUUUAUAUUUAUAUAGUA
Non-coding RNA from Hydra vulgaris (swiftwater hydra), 264 nucleotides. The record is from RefSeq and is a predicted model, not a curated record. Lineage: Eukaryota; Metazoa; Cnidaria; Hydrozoa; Anthoathecata; Hydridae.